Molecule: ribosomal RNA, 378 nt
Filed under: uncultured delta proteobacterium
Lineage: Bacteria; Deltaproteobacteria
Description: bacterial SSU rRNA
Rfam family: Bacterial small subunit ribosomal RNA
Source: RNAcentral
UAAUACAGAGGGUGCAAACGUUGCUCGGAAUUAUUGGGCGUAAAGCGCAUGUAGGCGGUCUAGUAAGUCGGCUGUGAAAGCCCAUGGCUCAACCAUGGAAGUGCAGCCGAUACUGCUAAGACUAGAAUCCCGGAGAGGGUGGCGGAACUCCCAGUGUAGAGGUGAAAUUCGUAGAUAUUGGGAAGAACACCGGUGGCGAAGGCGGCCACCUGGACGGGUAUUGACGCUGAGAUGCGAGAGCGUGGGGAGCAAACAGGAUUAGAUACCCUGGUAGUCCACGCCGUAAACGUUGAACACUAGUUGUUGCGGGUAUUGACCCCUGCAGUGACGAAGCUAACGCAUUAAGUGUUCCGCCUGGGGACUACGGCCGCAAGGCUA